CUGCCUCAGCCUCCCAAAGUGCUGGGAUUACAGGAGUGAGCCACUGUGCCCAGCCCCUGGUCAUUUUUCAAAGGGCAUAUGUAUGGUCUUCCCUGAAGGUCUCUAGAAGAAACUGUCAGUGCCAGUGAAGAAGAAAACGUGGGACACCAGCAGGCUGGGAAUGUGAAGCAGCAGGAAAAAUCGCAGCCCUCAGAGAGUCGCUGGCUGAAGUAUCUAGAAAAGGACUCCCAAGAACUGGAGCUGGAAGGAACAGGAGUGUGUUUCAGCAAACAGCCUUCAUCCAAAAUGGAGGAGCCAGGCCCCCACUUCAGUCAAGACCUGCCUAGAAAAAGGAAGUGGAGCGGGAGCACCGUCCAGCCUCCGUGCAGCCGUGGCGUCCAGGACUCGGGUGGCUCUGAGGUCGCCUGGGGACCCCAGAAGGUCAGUGACAGAGAACAGUUUCUCUCUGGUCCCAGUGACCACCGAGUGUGUGUGGGAUAAUUCUGUCUUCUGUCACAGUUGACGAAGUGUGCGAUUCCUACCCGCAGAAAGCCCAUCUUCCCACCCGGGUUUCUUGUCUUUUCUGUCUGAAGCCAACUCCUUCCUCGGGUCUGUACCCCCUUUUCCCUCCCAUGCCUCUCGUCUCCCAUGAGGGUAACUCAGGACCAAAGAGCAUUGUGACCCUUGGAGCAACGGAGGUUGGCCCGCAAGUCACCCUGACGAUGG
This 705-nucleotide small RNA is filed under the name Pan troglodytes (chimpanzee). Its description in RNAcentral is "retained intron". The record is from RNAcentral. Lineage: Eukaryota; Metazoa; Chordata; Mammalia; Primates; Hominidae.